Molecule: ribosomal RNA, 531 nt
Filed under: uncultured fungus
Lineage: Eukaryota; Fungi
Description: eukaryotic LSU rRNA
Rfam family: 5.8S ribosomal RNA (bases 224-377)
Source: RNAcentral
CUUGGUCAUUUAGAGGAAGUAAAAGUCGUAGCAAGGUCUCCGUAGGUGAACCUGCGGAGGGAUCAUUACAAGUGACCCCGGUUUACCACCGGGAUGUUCAUAACCCUUUGUUGUCCGACUCUGUUGCCUCCGGGGCGACCCUGCCUUCGGGCGGGGGCUCCGGGUGGACACUUCAAACUCUUGCGUAACUUUGCAGUCUGAGUAAACUUAAUUAACAAAUUAAAACUUUUAACAACGGAUCUCUUGGUUCUGGCAUCGAUGAAGAACGCAGCGAAAUGCGAUAAGUAAUGUGAAUUGCAGAAUUCAGUGAAUCAUCGAAUCUUUGAACGCACAUUGCGCCCCCUGGUAUUCCGGGGGGCAUGCCUGUUCGAGCGUCAUUUCACCACUCAAGCCUCGCUUGGUAUUGGGCAACGCGGUCCGCCGCGUGCCUCAAAUCGACCGGCUGGGUCUUCUGUCCCCUAAGCGUUGUGGAAACUAUUCGCUAAAGGGUGCUCGGGAGGCUACGCCGUAAAACAACCCCAUUUCUAAGGU